AAAAUUUUCACCUUAUAAAGUUUUUACUUAUUAAAGCUUGGAUGUUGGAGGCUUGCAGGCGUUUGUCAGCUCCUCUUAAAUUUAUUAGUGGGAACCCUGUUUUGUUAGUUCUAACCUUGGUGUGAUAAUUAUCUACAUUUUGGUGGAACCUUACAAUAAUAAAGCUCUAUUGGUUUGGGUUGUUGCAUUUAGUUUGCUCAAUCUGUUCUAUUCAUUGGAGAAAAAGGGAAGUUCUGCUUUCUAACUGUCUUGAUUGACUAUAUAUAACUUAUUU
This 274-nucleotide unclassified non-coding RNA is filed under the name Lentinula edodes (shiitake mushroom). RNAcentral describes it as "ITS2". The record is from RNAcentral. Lineage: Eukaryota; Fungi; Basidiomycota; Agaricomycetes; Agaricales; Omphalotaceae.